AGAAGCAGCUAUCCUUUAAAAAGUGCGUAACAGCUUACCAGUCGAGGUUUGGGGCACUGAAAAUGGACGGGGCUUAAGCCUACUACAGAGACCACGGACCACACGUUCGUGUGAUGGCGUAGAGAGGCGUGCUGCCUGGGCCGAAGCAGGGCCGUAAGGUCCUGUGGACCGGGUAGUAAUGAGAAUUCUGGCAUUAGUAGAAGCAAAGUUGGGUGAGAAUCCCAACCGCCGUAGGGGCUAGGUUUCCUCGGCAAUGUUCGUCAGCCGAGGGUUAGUCGGUCCUAAGGUGUGUCGUAACUCGAACACAUCGAAAGGGAAACAGGUUAAUAUUCCUGUACCGUGCAUCCAUUGCGGGUAACCGCCCUGACGCUUCGGGAUAUGCCGGGCAGGGUCGUCGCCCUGUCCAAGCGUUCAACCUCGUGGAGUACCGUCAUGGUGAGAAGCGAGGGAAGACGUGAUGGAGUAAUUCGGCAAAUUCCUGGAGCCCGUGAAAAGGGGGAUGCAAUGACCGUACCGAGAUCUGACACAGGUGCCCCUAGCUGAAAAGGCUAAGGCGUGUCGGUGUAAUCGUGUUAAGGGAACUCGGCAAAUUAGCCCCGUAACUUCGGGAGAAGGGGUGCCUGCCUGGCGAUCAGGCAGGUCGCAGUGACCAGGGGGCUCUGACUGUCUAAUAACAACAUAGGUGACUGCAACUCGGAAACGAUUAGUAUAGUCACUGAUUCCUGCCCAGUGCGAGUAUCUGAAUCCCGGGUUCAACCGGACGAAGGACUCGUAAACGGCGGGGGUAACUAUGACCCUCUUAAGGUAGCGUAGUACCUUGUCGCUUAAUUGGCGACUUGCAUGAAUGGAUUAACGAGAGCCCUACUGUCCCUAACACGAAUCCGUUGAACAUUUUGUCCUAGUGCAGAGACUAGGGACUCCAGAUGGGAAGUGAAGACCCCGUGGAGCUUUACUGCAGCCUGUUGCUGUGUUACGGUAUUCCUUGCGCAGCGUAGAUGGGAGGCGUCGAACCAUCCCUUCCGGGGGGUGGGGAGCCACCGAUGAGACACCAUCCUUGGUUUACUGUAACACUAACUCUCGUUCCGAGAGGACACCGGUAGGUAGGCAGUUUGGGUGGGGCGCCACACCCUCGAAAAAAUAUCAAGGGUGCCCUAAGGUCAACUCAUGUGAGUCAGAAACUCACAGGAGAGUGUCAAGAGCAUAAGUUGGCCUGACGCGAUUUCGCAGAGCAAGAAAUCGCGAGAGGAAACUCGGGUCUAACGAACCAAUGAGCCUUGUUGAUGAGGGCCAUUGACGACAGAAAAGCUACCCCGGGGAUAACAGAGUCGUCGCCGGCAAGAGCACAUAUCGACCCGGCGGCUUGCUACCUCGAUGUCGGUUCUUUCCAUCCUGGCNNGCCAAGGGUGAGGUUGUUCGCCUAUUAAAGGGGAUCGUGAGCUGGGUUUAGACCGUCGUGAGACAGGUCGGUUACUAUCUAUCUGGAGUGUUUGGAGUCUGAAGGUAAGAUGGAAAUAGUACGAGAGGAACUUUCCGUCGCCGCCUCUGGUCGAUCGGUUGUCCGACCGGGCACUGCCGAGCAGCUACGCGGUAAGGGAUAAAAGCUGAAAGCAUCUAAGCUUGAAACCCGCCCUGAAAAGAGACUCCGUUAAGGACACGGGUAAAAGACCCGCUUGAUAGGUCCGGGAUGUAAGCACGAAGGUAACGACGUGUUCAGUCCGCGGAUACUAACGUCCAAUGCCAUCCGCU
This 1746-nucleotide ribosomal RNA is filed under the name Methanoculleus sp. DTU007. RNAcentral describes it as "bacterial LSU rRNA". It matches the Rfam family "Archaeal large subunit ribosomal RNA", at positions 1194 to 2987 of the family's 2987-position model. Lineage: Archaea; Methanobacteriati; Methanobacteriota; Methanomicrobia; Methanomicrobiales; Methanomicrobiaceae. The record is from RNAcentral.